This 216-nucleotide ribosomal RNA is filed under the name Acinetobacter baumannii. RNAcentral's name for it is "partial 23S ribosomal RNA". It matches the Rfam family "Bacterial large subunit ribosomal RNA", at positions 1 to 210 of the family's 2925-position model. Lineage: Bacteria; Pseudomonadati; Pseudomonadota; Gammaproteobacteria; Moraxellales; Moraxellaceae. The record is from RNAcentral.
GUUGUAUAGUCAAGUAAUUAAGUGCAUGUGGUGGAUGCCUUGGCAGUCAGAGGCGAUGAAAGACGUGAUAGCCUGCGAAAAGCUCCGGGGAGGCGGCAAAUAUCCUUUGAUCCGGAGAUGUCUGAAUGGGGGAACCCACCUACUUUAAGGUAGGUAUUGCAACAUGAAUACAUAGUGUUGCAAGGCGAACGAGGGGAAGUGAAACAUCUCAGUACC